AUCCAACGGACAAAAAUCAUCCACCGCUUCAGAUCCGACGAACCAUACCUCCCUCAGCUCCCACCGCGCACCAUCAUCGCCGCACCCUCGCUCUCCCCGCGUCGCGCCGCCCCCCAAUCCCAAACCCCGCAGCAGCUCCACCUGCGCCGCCGUCGGAUCGACGGGAAAGAACCGCGGACCGCCGCGCUUGCACCAGCAUCCAGAUCAGCGCCGCCUCGCCGAUCUCCUCUGCGCCGCCGCCCACGAUUUGCUGCCGGCGCUCACAAAUUGUCGUCGUCACGAAAUCGCAACCCUAAUCUCCCCACACCGCGCCGCCGCCCCUCGCCUCUCCACCGCACCGGUCUCCUCUGCGAGCGCCGUCGCUCCCUGCCUCUCCACCGCGCCGUCGUCCUCGCCGCCACCCUACGGCUCUCCACCACACUGCCAUCCACUACGCCACCCUCCGCUCGUCGUGCCGCCCACAUCGACGGGAGACUGCCCGUUAAGGGCGAGCCCGUCCUCCGUCGUCUUCCCGUCGCACGCGGAGGCAGCGAUAUUCUCCUUCGCCCACGAUUUUCUUCGUCUUCUUCGUCUCUCUCCCCUUCUCCCACGGCUUGCUGCUGCUGCCCAUAUCAGCCGGACCCCAUCUCCGGCGGCAUCCCUCCCCAGGCGGCAGGCGACGGUGUGUGCUGAUGCCCCCACGUCGGCGGUGUCCUGGCGGUCGUCUCCCGUGGCGGCGGCGUCCUGUCCUGUCAAGCGGCGUGCUGACAACAGAAACACUUAUAGGAUUUGGCGCUGAAAAUUUUUUAUGCCCUUUGAACAACAAAGCAUGUUCAUUAUAUUGACAUCAACAAAAAUUUCUGCUAUCAGAUGUGCUGCAAAAAUCGAGAUGUUGAGGUUAUAUAAUUUAGUGCUGAAAAGUUAAUGUUCUGUUUCAGGUGCCUGCAAUGAUUUUAUCUAGACAUAUGCUGGUGCUGAGUCCAUUGCUUGCCUUGAUGUCGGAUCAACUGAGGAAGCUCCCUGCAUUUAUGCAAGAUGGCCUUUUUGCGAGCAGUUAGGAGCACAAGUGGACUAGGACUGAGCAUGCUAAUUCAAACAGGCAUCCAGUGUGAACUAUGUGGGGCUGUGGGCAAAUUCAGUAAAUAACCUGCUCGUGGCAAAUUGAGGACUAAAAUUUUGAUUUUGAGCACCAUCGGUGCCUUUUUGGUGUGGGCUGUCAAGACCAUCGACAGCUUCCUCCCUUGUCCCCACCGGCCAUCCGCUCCGCAAGGUGAUAGACGUUUUCCUUGUAUCGUGACGUUCAUGAAUAAUGUAGUCAUGCCAUAUGAAGCAAUUGUAUACUUGUAUGUGACCUUUUUGGCGGUUGAUUGAAAAGUAAAUGAUUGGAUCUGGGUGAUUGAAUAAAGUGCUUUUAGUAUUCAGCUUGAUUUCAUGAAGCAGACUCAUCAUGAAUUACUAUGUGUUCUCCCAAUUGCCAAAUUCAGUUCUAUUUCUCAGUAAAAUUUAGAUUUCCAAACAUUUUCUCAUUUUCUUUUCAUGCCAGAUCAAAGAAGUCAUAUGAGAUAUAGAUUAUAAACUUGAAUUUAGCAGAUGGUGAUGGAUGGUUUGGACAUGUAAACGAGAUAAACUACCUUACCACAUCAAAUACUCCGACAUUAGAUAAUGCAUACUAUUAUAAACGAUAUAUAGAUCAAACAUUAGAUGAUUAUAUCCGGUUUGGACUUUUUUUAUGUCUAUGUGUUAAUUGUGAAGUUGUACAUUACCAAUUAGAUUUUUACGAAAGAUAGAGGUCAUGAUAUUUUACUCACAUGGCUAAAGAUUAACAAUAUAAUAACUUGCUUUGUCAUUCAGUUUUUAAAUUUUAACUUGUCUCAUUUAAUGCUUGAUUGGCAAAAAAUAUAUAUUCUUUUAAUUAUUUAUUUUGCAUUUCUAAAUGCUACCGUAGCGUUAGCACGGGCCAAUUACUAGUCUACCCUAUAAUUCACCAACUCACUCUUACACCUACGUACUCAUUCAUCAAAUCCAACGACCGAGAAUCAUCGAAUCCAAUGGCUCAGCUCCUCCCACGUAUCUCCCCGCAACCUCACACUAAUCUCCCGCACGCAUUUCCCUCUCCCCCUCCACUCUCGCACAACCUCCUCUCUCUCUCUCUCUCCCCACGCCAACCGCAGCGCCGCCGCCGAUGCCGCCGUCGAUUCCGACGCGCCGCAAUCGCGCCGACGCCGCCCACGUCCCGCCAUCGAGCCGCCGUCGACUCCCGCCUUCAGAUCGAUGCCAUUGAUGCCCCAUCACGCCUUCACAUCGACGCCACCGGCGAUUCCCGUCUCUCCACCUUGACCCUCACGCCAAUCGUCACCGAAUCCCGCCUCCAUAUCGAUGUCGCCGACGCCCCAACCAGCACGUCGAUUCCCGCCUCCAGAUGACACCACCAGCGCCCCUCACGACGAUCGUCGUCGAUUCCCGCCUCCAGAUUGACACCGCCAAAGCCCCCACACAAUGCAGAUCGUUGUCACGCGCUGUUGAUCCCCGGCCCCUCGCGCCGCCACCGGGACUGCUCGCCCACGCGCCCCCUUCUAUACCGCGACGCCGCCGCCGACUCCCUCGUGCCAUCUGCUCUCCUUUGCGCCUCCACCUUAGCCCUCUCCACCGCGAUGCGAACAAGGGUCAUGUAUGGUGGAUGCAAGUAUGGAUUCAGAUCAUGGUGGAUGUAUACAUCAAUUUUAGGUUUUCGUACAUGAACCAAAGGCUGAAAUUUUUAUGGGACGGGGCAACAUCUAAUUUUAUGGAGACAAGCUCCAUCGCCGCCCCAUGGAGACACCAUUCUCUGCCGCUGGACCACCGUCGCCCUGCCUCGAUCGGUGGCACCGACACGUAGCUGUGUCCUCCAUCAAUGUGCUACUGCCCCCAUUGCCUCAAGAUCCACCGCUGCCCCUGGUCAUGCAUGGUGGAUGUAUGUAUGGUUUCAUAUUGUGGUUUUGGAAAAAAAAUAUUGAGUUUAGGGUUUUUAAUGCAACCUUGUAUCAUGCAUGACUGGGGAUCGUUGGGUCUUAGGGAAUGCACUACAAAAUGAAUUUUGGUAGAAAAAUGGAACAAAACAAACAUGCAUAUUGGAACUUCAUGGAAGAGAAUAUGCGUGUGUGUGUGUGUGUGUGUUAGUUUAUCUGGUAUGAUAAAAUGGUAAAUGGACCCGGCUAGCUUUGUCAAAUCAGUUUAUUAAAAACUGAUAUAAAAAUUAGUGUCUUCUACAUCUUAAUGUGUCAUAUAUGUAACGGUUGUACUUGAGAUUCAGGGUUUUCUAAUAUGGGGUCAAUAGGGAUUGAGGUUCUGUGAGAUGGACCUAACUGAUAGCCUGAGCAUAGGGUAGGAAGGGGCCACAUUUUUUAUUAAUGAUCUCUAUAUUUUAGGGUCGGCAUUUAAGCUUGUAAAAAGCUGAAUACUUGAGAUAAAG
Oryza sativa Japonica Group (Japanese rice) is the source of this 3427-nucleotide non-coding RNA. The record is from RefSeq and is a predicted model, not a curated record. Lineage: Eukaryota; Viridiplantae; Streptophyta; Magnoliopsida; Poales; Poaceae.